Molecule: long non-coding RNA, 837 nt
Organism: Medicago truncatula (barrel medic)
Lineage: Eukaryota; Viridiplantae; Streptophyta; Magnoliopsida; Fabales; Fabaceae
Exons: 2
Source: RefSeq, a predicted model, not a curated record
CUUACGUUGAAAGAAGGAAAUAUUUAUCUAAAAUUAUGAAGUUUAUUUAUAUUAUGAUCCUCUUUCUUUCUCUAUUUCUCGUUCAAUUUCUUACAUGCAAAGGAUGUAAGCCAUUUUGCAUUCUUUUAAUUUUUUUUGUCUAGUGAGCCUAGUGAUUGGAGCUCACACAUUAAAAUGUGGAGAAGUUGGGUGUUCGGAGUUCGAACCUCGGCCUCUGCAUAAAUUAUGCAAUGUCCCUGCCAAUUGAGCUAAGCUCACGUGGGGCACAGUUAUGGUGCAUAAUGAAAUCCUUAUGCACCUUGCAUAAAUCCAAAAAUUGUUUCUAUGAGUUGUACUCCAAAACCAUUCGAUGUACGUAAUGAUUUCCAGCACCCUGCAUAAGGAUUUCCAGCACCCUGCAUAAAAGUAUGCCAAAACCAUUUUGCUGUGGAAAUGGUUUCUGUGAGUUGUACUCCAAAACCAUUUGAUUAACCGUUCCAUGUGAAAAUCCAACUACUUGUCCAGAAGAUUUCUGUACGCCUCCAAUGAUUACACGGUGUAUUAAUUUCAUAUGUUUAUGUGAUGGUCCUGAAUAUGCCGAACCGGAAUAUGAUGGUCCUGAACCGGAAUAUGAUCACAAGGGUGAUUUUUUGAGUGUGAAACCUAAAAUUAUAAAUGAAAAUAUGAUGAUGAGAGAGAGGCACAUGAUGAAAGAAAUAGAGGUAUAAAGUCCUUAUAUAUGAUUACAAGAACUAAGAAAUAUUAUUUAUAAUAAAGUAUGAAAUAAUUUGUAAUUUAAUAGUUGUAUUGAACCCUAUUGUUGGAAUUAUUUUGUUAUUAAUUUUCUUCCUUUUCAAA